AUUGAACGCUGGCGGCAGGCCUAACACAUGCAAGUCGAGCGGAUGAAGGGAGCUUGCUCCUGGAUUCAGCGGCGGACGGGUGAGUAAUGCCUAUGAAUCUGCCUGGUAGUGGUGGAUAACGUCCGGAAACGGGCGCUAAUACCGCAUACGUCCUGAGGGAGAAAGUGGGGGAUCUUCGGACCUCACGCUAUCAGAUGAGCCUAGGUCGGAUUAGCUAGUUGGUUGGGUAAAGGCCUACCAAGGCGACGAUCCGUAACUGGUCUGAGAGGAUGAUCAGUCACACUGGAACUGAGACACGGUCCAGGCUCCUACGGGAGGCAGCAGUGGGGAAUAUUGGACAAUGGGCGAAAGCCUGAUACAGCCAUGCCGCGUGUGUGAAGAAGGUCUUCGGAUUGUAAAGCACUUUAAGUUGGGAGGAAGGGCAGUAAGUUAAUACCUUGCUGUUUUGACGUUACCAACAGAAUAAGCACCGGCUAACUUCGUG
Molecule: ribosomal RNA, 484 nt
Filed under: uncultured bacterium
Lineage: Bacteria
Description: partial 16S ribosomal RNA
Rfam family: Bacterial small subunit ribosomal RNA
Source: RNAcentral